UCUGCCACUGCUGCAUUCUUUAAAUAGAGAAAUAUACUGGUGCACGAUUAAUUAGUUUCCCUGUGGCUUCCGUAUCGGUCUUGCAGUGCAUCCUUGAAUAUGGCAUUUUGACUAUCUCGUUAGUUCCUCUUUCUAAGGCUCUUGUUUUCCUUGAAGAUAGCAAAGUUAGAAGAAGGGAAAUAAACAAGCCAACUGUCUCGUGAGAAGAGGAGACAAAAAAGGGGACAGAAAGUAACUUGAGGUCUAUUGCUUACUGACGUAUGCCUGCAUCAUGACAGGAAUAUGUAUGUGUAUGCAUUCUUUUCUCUUCCUCUUUCUUGUAGAAGUGUAUAAACAUCACGCUAUCCAUUUUUACUGCAGGGGAGUCUCUCCCGCUAACCUUGAUGGGUCCCCUCCGUCGUGCACUGUAUUCCUAGUGGGUUACGCGGUGGGAGCAGCUCUGUCGGUUCCUCUUCCCAGCAGGGUAUGACAGGAGCCAGAGAGAAGGGUUUGGGAAGAAGCAAAAGCCAACCAGCUUCGUGAGGUGACAAAAGCUUGAAGCAGCAAAAUGAAAAGUUAAAGGAACAGUUGCUGAGCUGAGGGCACACACUGACCCAUCUGCCCCACCUGUUCAAUACAGGACCUCCAUGCUUUUCCCCCAAUUCUCUUUUCUCCUGUGACUCUAUUUUCAUAGAAUUUACUAAGUUCCCUAAUCUCUUUAGGGUGACUGCUAAGAACGCCUCUUUGGCAAAUAUCUCCUUGAGGCUUUAUGUACUCGCUCGUGGAGGCUUUGGGUGCUACUAUAGAGGCCCAAUGGCCUCUAAGGCCCUGCUUCCACAAUUUGCCCACAAACUUGGGCAUAGAGAGCAAAAGGAGGGAUGGAAGCUUACAUUUUAUUCCAGGAUGAGCAGUCCAAAUGGUCAGACACAAGAUCUAUCCUGAUGGGCAGGCCAAAAUUCCUGCAUCUCUACCCCAUGGCUUCCCAGAUGGAUAUGCACCUUCCAGAUGAUUUUACUAUGAACCACUCCAUGAAGUGACUACUUGACACCAGCUCCAGACCAGCCUUACAGCUACCUCGUGUCUAGGGCCAGUCCCAAGCAGGAGAUUGGGUGUAUCAAAAAGUGCAUCAGAGGAAAGACUCUCUCUCCCCAAGGUGGAAAGGCCUGUACCAAGUGCUGUUAGUAGGUCACAGCAGUGCAAAGCUUGAAGGUCUGACCUCGUGGGUUCACCUAAGUCAUCUCAGGCGUGCUUCAGCUCCAACCCCAGAAGCAAGCACCACCAAGGACUUUGUUCCAGGCUCCCAGGAAGCAAGCAGAAGAAAAAAGAAGGGUGAAGUUUUGACUACGAAACCCCGAAGAGCUCUGAAGAUAAGUUUUAAUGGACUCUUGUGAGUUUAACUUUGACAUUCAGGCUCCUGCAGUUAUUUAGGUUGCUUUAUUAUACUGCUCUUUUUCUUUUCUUUUACUUUCUGCCUCACGGUAAAGCAAUGGCUCUAUCUACAUCUCUGUUCAUGUAGGUCAGUGUGGUUUAUUUGCAAUUGCCAGGAUAUAAGAUGCAACACCCACUAGACUGGUUGCCUACAACCAAUUCUUAUUUGACUUUAGUCCAUUCCAUAAUCUCCCCUGGAGAACCUCUUGUGUGCUCUCGAAGGAACAAAUUGGGGUUCUGUGCUCAAAACAUGUUUUGUAGGAGUACCUGAGCUGUUUUUCAACGUACUCCGUACUAUCACUACACUGCCCUCAACACAUAAGCCACUCAGCCUUGAUUACCUAGGGAAAACCCUUCUGCACUUUGAGUCUGCACCCACCAAACAUCAGGACCAACCAAGCAUUACACAGGGUAGAAGCAAAAGGCAAUUUGCCAGGGACCAACUCUGUGAGUGGUUGGUUGUAAUGACAGUAAGACAUGCUUUUCCCUACCAGCACUUGAAAAAUGUUCAGAGGUGAUAGAGCUUGGCUCUAUAAGAGUUCCUCACUAUUAACCAAAGGGCUGGUGUCUGUUAUAUAAAAACACUGCCUUUUCAUACUUCCCAGCACCUUCCUAGGGAGGCCCCUGCACAGUUGGACGUUUAACUUCAUUUCACGUAGUACCACUUAUCCAGAAUUACACUGAUCACAAACCCAGGUGAGUGCACAGAUAUCUCAUUGAGGGUACCCCACUUGACAAUGCCUGGGAUGACCACACAGGGCUAUUGAAUACUAGAGAUGUUUGUGGGCUUGCUAUAUCCUUAAUUGGAACAUCAGCUCUGACAAACUGUGCUUAUGUUGAUAUUGAAAUUAGCUUGUUUAGUGAUAAAGACCAUAAAUCUUCAAACACUAUAGAAGAGCAGGAACAGGUAAGGACAGCAAUCUUGCAAAGAUUGGCCAUUGACUCUGUGUUAUUCAAAAUGGCCCAUGGGUGCAAGGAAUUUCCAGGUAUGUGUUGCUUUAACCUGACUGACAAUUCUUUACAUGUAAAAGCCACUGCACAAGUUUUAAGGGAUCUGGCAAAACAGAUCACAGAACAAGCCCCCAGUAAUCAAUGGAAUUGGCUUACAUCUUGGUUGCCUCAGACGGGGAGGGUGAGAAAUUUGCCUAGCUCUUCUGGCCAGCAUAAUUAUAUUGCUUUGUACUGGGCAAUGUUUAACUGGUCUUUUUAGCAACUAUCUCCAGAAAAAGUGUAAGGCUAAAUGCAGUUCUCCAGUCUGACCUGGAAUUUGACUUUCUGAAGGUCAAAGGGGGGGAAGGACCGUGAGGAAAAUACA
Python bivittatus (Burmese python) is the source of this 2722-nucleotide long non-coding RNA. RefSeq lists it as uncharacterized. NCBI's taxonomy places the organism in Eukaryota, Metazoa, Chordata, Lepidosauria, Squamata, Pythonidae. The record is from RefSeq and is a predicted model, not a curated record.